Small nucleolar RNA from Jaculus jaculus (lesser Egyptian jerboa), 133 nucleotides. Lineage: Eukaryota; Metazoa; Chordata; Mammalia; Rodentia; Dipodidae. The record is from Ensembl.
AGCCUCAUUGUAGAUGAAAAUGGACAGUGUUGGUCAGUGUCCAGAAUUGCUCAGUGUGGCUAAAUUGAAACACAGGUCAUGCUUCCAUCACAGUAAAUAUAUUACAGUGGUGACAAUGAGACCUGUAACAUUG